This 736-nucleotide ribosomal RNA is filed under the name uncultured Treponema sp. RNAcentral describes it as "bacterial SSU rRNA". It matches the Rfam family "Bacterial small subunit ribosomal RNA", at positions 28 to 754 of the family's 1533-position model. The record is from RNAcentral. Lineage: Bacteria; Pseudomonadati; Spirochaetota; Spirochaetia; Treponematales; Treponemataceae.
AACGAACGCUGGCGGCGCGUCUUAAGCAUGCAAGUCGAGCGGCAAGGUGCAGCAAUGCAUCCUAGAGCGGCGGACUGGUGAGUAACGCGUGGGUGACCUACCUAAAGGUUGGGGAUAGCCGUUAGAAAUAGCGGGUAAUACCGAAUGUGGUUGGAGCGCUGUGGCGCUCUAAAGAAAGGGGCUCCGGCCCCGCCUUAAGAUGGGCCCGCGUCCCAUUAGCUAGUUGGAGAGGUAAGAGCUUACCAAGGCGAAGAUGGGUAGCCGGCCUGAGAGGGUGAACGGCCACACUGGGACUGAGAUACGGCCCAGACUCCUACGGGAGGCAGCAGCUAAGAAUAUUCCGCAAUGGACGAAAGUCUGACGGAGCGACGCCGCGUGGAUGACGAAGGCCGUGAGGUUGUAAAGUCCUUUUAUUGCUGAAGAAUAAGCGGGGGAGGGAAUGCCCUUGUGAUGACGUUAGGCAAUGAAUAAGCCCCGGCUAAUUACGUGCCAGCAGCCGCGGUAACACGUAAGGGGCGAGCGUUGUUCGGAAUUAUUGGGCGUAAAGGGUGCGUAGGCGGUUAUGUAAGUCUGUGGUGAAAGGCGGGAGCUUAACUCCCGGACUGCCAUGGAAACUGUAUAACUGGAGUCAUGGAAGGGCAGCUGGAAUUCCGCGUGUAGGGGUGAAAUCUGUAGAUAUGCGGAAGAACACCCGUGGCGAAGGCGAGCUGCUAGCCAAUGACUGACGCUGAGGCAC